UACCAGCACCCCGAGUGGUCGGGACGAUUAUUGGGCCUAAAGCAUCCGUAGCCGGUUCUACAAGUCUUCCGUUAAAUCCACCUGCUUAACAGAUGGGCUGCGGAGGAUACUAUAGAGCUAGGAGGCGGGAGAGGCAAGCGGUACUUAGUGGGUAGGGGUAAAAUCCGUUGAUCCAUUGAAGACUACCAGUGGCGAAGGCGGCUUGCCAGAACGCACUCGACGGUGAGGGAUGAAAGCUGGGGGAGCAAACCGG
This 253-nucleotide ribosomal RNA is filed under the name uncultured bacterium. RNAcentral describes it as "partial 16S ribosomal RNA". It matches the Rfam family "Archaeal small subunit ribosomal RNA", at positions 474 to 727 of the family's 1478-position model. The record is from RNAcentral.